This 117-nucleotide non-coding RNA is filed under the name Cercocebus atys (sooty mangabey). The record is from Rfam by way of RNAcentral. Lineage: Eukaryota; Metazoa; Chordata; Mammalia; Primates; Cercopithecidae.
GCCGGGCGCGGUGGCUCACGCCUGUAAUCCCAGCACUUUGGGAGGCUGAGGCGGGUGGAUCACCUGAGGUUGGGAGUUUGAUAUCAGCCUGACCAACAUGGAGAAACCCCGUCUCUA